UCAGAUUGAACGCUGGCGGCAGGCCUAACACAUGCAAGUCGAGCGGUAGCACAAGGAGCUUGCUCCUGGGUGACGAGCGGCGGACGGGUGAGUAAUGUCUGGGAAACUGCCCGAUGGAGGGGGAUAACUACUGGAAACGGUAGCUAAUACCGCAUAACGUCUUCGGACCAAAGUGGGGGACCUUCGGGCCUCACACCAUCGGAUGUGCCCAGAUGGGAUUAGCUAGUAGGUGAGGUAAUGGCUCACCUAGGCGACGAUCCCUAGCUGGUCUGAGAGGAUGACCAGCCACACUGGAACUGAGACACGGUCCAGACUCCUACGGGAGGCAGCAGUGGGGAAUAUUGCACAAUGGGCGCAAGCCUGAUGCAGCCAUGCCGCGUGUGUGAAGAAGGCCUUCGGGUUGUAAAGCACUUUCAGCGAGGAGGAAGGGUUCGGUGUUAAUAGCACCGUUCAUUGACGUUACUCGCAGAAGAAGCACCGGCUAACUCCGUGCCAGCAGCCGCGGUAAU
This 509-nucleotide ribosomal RNA is filed under the name uncultured bacterium. RNAcentral's name for it is "bacterial SSU rRNA". It matches the Rfam family "Bacterial small subunit ribosomal RNA", at positions 24 to 524 of the family's 1533-position model. The record is from RNAcentral.